UCUGAAGAAUACUUGUGCAUUUCUUUUGACCUUAGCUUUAAGCCAGGAGAUCGCAUUGGAGGAGGGGGGUCUGGAAGCCCCCCUGUAGCUGCCCAGGCUCUGGCCUGCUCUCUCCCUGGACCUGGCACCCCAGUGGCUGGGGCCCUCUAGGGAAUAUGAAAAGUGGAGAGGACACAGGAUUUGGACACAACCGUGGCUGUACUCUCUCACUGGCACCAUCCCUUCACAUGCCUGUCACACUGGAAACUGCUCCAUCAACUAUGGUCUCAAAACAGCAUGAAAGAACUGAUGAUUUUGCUACCAACUUAAUGGGUUUCCUGUAAGUAAACUCACUGGGACUCUUCAGAGGGAACACAGCAGUGCGCUGACCCAAGGAAAGAAACUAUGCAUAUCUCAGGGCCUAUCUCAUCUUUGCAGCGUGCUUUACAGCUUAGACCUGUUCCUUAGGGUCAUUUUCAUGACCAGUACUUUAUCUUGCUAUUUACAACAAAAAAUGAGGAAAUGGGAAACACAAAGAGUUACACGUACCUCGCUGAUCAUGGUGGUGAAUGUCUGUAAUCCCAGAGACUCAGGAGGCUGAGGCAGGAGGAUUACAAGUUCCAAGCCAGCCUUAACAAUUUAGCAAUGCCGGACUGGGGAUGUGGCUCAAGCAGUGGCGUGCUCGCCUGGCAUGCGUGCAGCCCGGGUUCGAUCCUCGGCACCACAUGCAAGCAAACAUGUUGUGUCCGCCGAAAAAACUAAAAAAUAAAUAUUGGAAUUCUCUCUCUCUCAAAAAAAAAAAAAAAAAAAAUUAGCAAUGCCCUAAGUGACUUACUGACACUCUCCUGUCUCAAUAAAAAAUAAAAAGGGUUGAAGAUGUAGCUCAGAGAUAAAGUGCCACUGGGUUCAAUCUCCCCAAUACAAAAGAAAGAGAGAGAGUUACAUGACCUAAACUUACAUAGGCAGUGAGUGAUGGAAUUACAUUUUAAAAGUUAUAGUUAGGCUGGGGUGUAGCUACAAAGCUCUAGGUGCAAUCAUAGCACUUAAAAUGCACAUAACACAGAAUUUACAAUUUUAAGC
RNAcentral lists this long non-coding RNA (1059 nucleotides) under Marmota monax (woodchuck). The record is from RNAcentral. Lineage: Eukaryota; Metazoa; Chordata; Mammalia; Rodentia; Sciuridae.